GCCACCUUUCUCCGUUUCUAACAGUGCACUGAGAGAACGCUCCAUCCCCUAUUUGGGUCCCUGAAUGGCUAGUCAAGCCAGUCUUACACUCGGCACCAAAAGAGGCAGAAGCCCAAAAGGACGACAGCCAUGGUGACAAUAAUCCGGAUGAUGAUGAUCUACGCACUCCUGACCAUGACAUCAGGACAGACCCUUUGGGCCAUUGUUAAAGCCUGGCCCUAUCCACUCCCUUUAACGUCUUCCUCUGCUACUUACCCCGCACUCUUAACUACUAAUUUAUUAUGUAACUCCUCUUAAAAGCACAACUUUUCCCAAA
This is a long non-coding RNA of Mustela erminea (ermine), 316 nucleotides long. RefSeq lists it as uncharacterized. Lineage: Eukaryota; Metazoa; Chordata; Mammalia; Carnivora; Mustelidae. The record is from RefSeq and is a predicted model, not a curated record. The transcript is spliced from 2 exons.